Molecule: ribosomal RNA, 427 nt
Filed under: uncultured bacterium
Lineage: Bacteria
Description: bacterial SSU rRNA
Rfam family: Bacterial small subunit ribosomal RNA
Source: RNAcentral
GAGGACGACCAGCCACACUGGGACUGAGACACGGCCCAGACUCCUACGGAGGCAGCAGUGGGAAUUUUGGACAAUGGGCGAAAGCCUGAUCCAGCAAUGCCGCGUGCAGGAUGAAGGCCUUCGGUUGUAAACUGCUUUUGUACGGAACGAAAAGGCUCUGGCUAAUACCUGGGGCACAUGACGGUACCGUAAGAAUAAGCACCGGCUAACUACGUGCCAGCAGCCGCGGUAAUACGUAGGGUGCGAGCGUUAAUCGGAAUUACUGGGCGUAAAGCGUGCGCAGGCGGUUUUUGUAAGACAGAGGUGAAAUCCCCGGGCUCAACCUGGGAACUGCCUUUGUGACUGCAAGGCUGGAGUGCGGCAGAGGGGGAUGGAAUUCCGCGUGUAGCAGUGAAAUGCGUAGAUAUGCGGAGGAACACCGAUGGCG